Molecule: ribosomal RNA, 414 nt
Filed under: Triticum aestivum (bread wheat)
Lineage: Eukaryota; Viridiplantae; Streptophyta; Magnoliopsida; Poales; Poaceae
Description: partial small subunit ribosomal RNA
Source: RNAcentral
GUAACUGAGGGGACAAACUUAAACUGGAGAAUGAUGGAGUAUGUCAUACGCCAAGUGAUGGACCUUGACAAGUUAGUGGAGCGUCAUGAUGCUGGAAACUAUGAUCAAGGAAGAGCAUAUGCAUUCGUCCAUACGUUGACAUGGUCAGACUGCAACAAGAACUUCUCGAAACUGCCUAAUCGUGUUGUCCCCGAAGAAAUGGAGGAAUAUGGUGCCAUAACCAUUGUUUGUCAUCCACACAGUACUGUGUCAAGUACAUACACCAUUUCUGAUAUUGACGGUCGUGUCUGCGUCAACAAAUGGAACGAGUUCAUGAAGAAGGAAAAAAAUCUUGUUGUUAGGACAGAAGGUGCUGAUGUUGCUGUACCUGGGAGAUCAUGGGAUUUAUCUGUUUGUUUCGUGCCUCUAGAGUAG